Molecule: ribosomal RNA, 352 nt
Filed under: uncultured Niabella sp.
Lineage: Bacteria; Pseudomonadati; Bacteroidota; Chitinophagia; Chitinophagales; Chitinophagaceae
Description: bacterial SSU rRNA
Rfam family: Bacterial small subunit ribosomal RNA
Source: RNAcentral
GUGCCAGCCGCGGCGGUAAUACGGAGGGUGCAAGCGUUAUCCGGAUUCACUGGGUUUAAAGGGAGCGCAGGUGGGUUGGUAAGUCAGAGGUGAAAUCUCCGAGCUUAACUCGGAAACUGCCUUUGAUACUAUCAGUCUUGAAUAUUGUUGAGGUUAGCGGAAUAUGUCAUGUAGCGGUGAAAUGCUUAGAUAUGACAUAGAACACCAAUUGCGAAGGCAGCUGGCUAAACAUAUAUUGACACUGAGCUCGAAAGCGUGGGAUCAAACAGGAUUAGAUACCCUGGUAGUCCACGCCCUAAACUAUGGAUACUCGACAUACGCGAUACACAGUGUGUGUCUGAGACGAAAGCAA